RNAcentral lists this non-coding RNA (30 nucleotides) under Rattus norvegicus (Norway rat). The record is from RNAcentral. Lineage: Eukaryota; Metazoa; Chordata; Mammalia; Rodentia; Muridae.
UGACAUCAUGGUGCUUACAUAUAUUCUAAG